AUACCGCGUGAGGGAAGAAGGCCUAUGGGUUGUAAACCUCUUUUUUCAGGGAAGGAACAAAAUGACGUGUACCUGAAGAAUAAGCAUCGGCUAACUCCGUGCCAGCAGCCGCGGUAAGACGGAGGAUGCAAGUGUUAUCCGGAAUUACUGGGCGUAAAGCGUCUGUAGGUGGUUUAAUAAGUCAACUGUUAAAUCUUGAAGCUUAACUUCAAAACAGCAGUCGAAACUAUUAAACUAGAGUAUAGUAGAGGUAAAGGGAAUUCCAGUGGAGCGGUGAAAUGCGUAGAUAUUGGAAAGAACACCGAUGGCGAAAGCACUUUACUGGGCUAUUACUAACACUCAGAGACGAAAGUUAGGGUAGCAAAUGGGAUUAGAUACCCCAGUAGUCCUAGCUGUAAACAAUGGAUACUAGAUGUUGAACAGAUCGACCUGUGCAGUAUUAAAGCUAACGCGUUAAGUAUCCCGCCUGGGAAGUAUGCUCGCAAGAGUGAAACACAAAGGAAUUGACGGGGGCCCGCACAAGCGGUGGAGCAUGUGGUUUAAUUCGAUGCAACGCGAAGAACCUUACC
This 569-nucleotide ribosomal RNA is filed under the name uncultured bacterium. Its description in RNAcentral is "bacterial SSU rRNA". It matches the Rfam family "Bacterial small subunit ribosomal RNA", at positions 394 to 975 of the family's 1533-position model. The record is from RNAcentral.